GGCGGGGGGCGGCCGUGUUCUCCCUCAGUGCCUCACUGCAGCUGGGAAAGAGAGAGUCUUAGGGGUGGGCGAAGCGCAGCGGAGAACGGCGGGGAGGAUUUCUAAUGAGGCAGUAGCUCUGGCUGUUCCGCGGCCGAGAAUACUCCCUUCCAGACACCUGUUUGAAGGCCAUACAUUUGACUUGGAAAAGGUGCUGCAAAUUUGUGGAGAAAGUAAAACUGGAAACACUUUAAGUUUUACAUGCAAUAGAUCUGUAUGAUGAAAUCUCUGUUAAAGUGAAAUGGGUGAUUGCUUGAAAAGAACAUAUGAAGCAG
RNAcentral lists this long non-coding RNA (314 nucleotides) under Serinus canaria (Common canary). RNAcentral describes it as "lncRNA (ENSSCAG00000012741.1)". The record is from RNAcentral. Lineage: Eukaryota; Metazoa; Chordata; Aves; Passeriformes; Fringillidae.